Molecule: long non-coding RNA, 1527 nt
Organism: Oreochromis niloticus (Nile tilapia)
Lineage: Eukaryota; Metazoa; Chordata; Actinopteri; Cichliformes; Cichlidae
Exons: 2
Source: RefSeq, a predicted model, not a curated record
CUCCCCCUCUCGACCACCGUCACAGCCUGCGUAGCCUUCCCUGUUCGCUCACACACACAGCGGUGAUGGGAUAAUACACAACGCAUGAAUGUACUGUGCAGCAGGACGAGUGUGUGAGGAGGAGGAGGGUCGUGUGUGUGUUUGAGGACAGAGUGUGAAGCGAGGAGUGCGAACGAGCUGAAGGAGCUUCCAUGAAUCUUCUGUUUUUUAUGCUGGAUGUGUUUUUGCAGCACUGCAGGCUGAGAAGGAGCUGGAAGAGUUUAAACUUCCUGCUGUAGCGCAGGCUCGGCCUGUUCCAGGACGCUCUUAUGUAAAGUGGAGCUCCUGCACAUGGAUAAGAAAAGGCCGACUGUGCUUUGGAGAACACGGAGGUGAUGUCAGUCGUGCAGUCCUUCCUUUCUUUGGCGUCUGUGAUGGUUUCCAGAUGCUUUCAGAGGAUCGUUCAUGUAACUGAAUCCUGUAAAAAUGUACACACAGCUGAAGCACGGCUCACAACUCUCCAGCCGUCUCGGAGCCAGUCCAGGCCGAUAUUCCUGAUGGCCGCCGUAACGAACGCGGAUGGAGCCGUAACUUUCAUCUCCAUGGUGACCGGGACAUUUAAACUGCACAGAUAGUCUCCAUUCUACUCUGAUUAUAUUUCUUUUAAAGAAAAAUUCAAAUUAUUUAAACUGCUGAAGCGUUUUCCUGUAAGUUAUCCUUCACUGCAUGCAGAGCAUCAAAACAACAAACUGCUUUGGCUCCUCCCACCAGAGCACUAAACAAACAUCAUGGCGCCAGUGAGGAAAACAAUAGUGCACUUACCUGCGUCUCUAUGGUGAUAACGGACCAACGAGCAUGAUUGGCUCUUCUGUUCUCCGGCUGAGCUGAUUGGCUCGUUGGGGGAAGCUUUGAGACGAGUGUUUGCAUCCAAUCUUACCUUCUCAGGUAAACGUGAGGCCGACACCUGCAGUUCACAUUAAUCAUUAUAUAAGGUUUUAACCCUUUAAGGCCCAUCAGAGCGUGCACGCUCCGUUCUGCAUAACUAUUUCUAAAUCCCAGUAGAAUUACAACCACAUAAGCUAGCACAAUAUUUUCUUUUGCUUGUGAAAUCAGAGCAGUCGUACUUUCAUAACAUGCAUCCAACUUGUCCCAGGUCGCGCUUUCCUUCCACAUACAGCUUUGCAAAAGUUGCGUAAAAAAGCGCUGGCAACAACAAAAAACAUAAUAUUCCAGAAACACGCUCUGCUGAUCCGAUCAGCUGUUCAUAGCACUUCCUACGCUGGAAUAAACAUCAGCGCGAACUAUGUCAUGUCCUGCCAAACCGGAAGUGACGUCAUUUUUCAUGGGACACGCAGUUUUUAUCCCACAGGGCCUUUCAAAGGAGACCAGGUGUUUGUGAAAGUCGUGUUUGACUUCAUGCUCUUCUGUACAGUUUCUGAGAGGCUCAGAACUUAAACUGCACUGUUGGAAAUUGUGUAUUUUGAUGCUGUUUUUUUGCAAAUUGUGCACAAUAAUAUUUAUUUUGGUUUUUCCUGCAGUUUAUAAACA